UACGUGCCAGCAGCCGCGGUAAUACGUAGGGGUGCGAGCGUUAAUCGGAAUUACUGGGCGUAAAGCGUGCGCAGGCGGUUCGUUAAGUUCGUUGUGAAAGCCCCGGGCUCAACCUGGGAAUGGCAAUGGAAACUGGCGGGCUGGAGUGUGGCAGAGGGGGGUGGAAUUCCACGUGUAGCAGUGAAAUGCGUAGAGAUGUGGAGGAACACCGAUGGCGAAGGCAGCCCCCUGGGCCAACACUGACGCUCAGGCACGAAAGCGUGGGGAGCAAACAGGAUUAGAUACCCUGGUAGUCCACGCCCUAAACGAUGGCCACUGGGUGUUGGGGAAGCGAUUCCUUGGUACCGUAGCUAACGCGUGAAGUGGCCCGCCUGGGGAGUACGGCCGCAAGGUUAAAACUCAAAGGAAUUGACGGGGACCCGCACAAGCGGUGGAUGAUGUGGAUUAAUUUGAUGCAACGCGAACAACCUUACCUACCCUUGACAUGUCUGGGAGCCUGCUGAGAGGUGGGUGUGCCCGAAAGGGAACCGGAACACAGGUGCUGCAUGGCUU
Molecule: ribosomal RNA, 552 nt
Filed under: uncultured beta proteobacterium
Lineage: Bacteria; Pseudomonadati; Pseudomonadota; Betaproteobacteria
Description: bacterial SSU rRNA
Rfam family: Bacterial small subunit ribosomal RNA
Source: RNAcentral